GGCUCGGUAGCUAAGUCAGUAGAGCAUUAGUGUAGCAUAUAAGGGUCGUGAGUUAAAAUCUCACUUGAGCUG
Aedes albopictus (Asian tiger mosquito) is the source of this 72-nucleotide non-coding RNA. The record is from Rfam. NCBI's taxonomy places the organism in Eukaryota, Metazoa, Arthropoda, Insecta, Diptera, Culicidae.